Fundulus heteroclitus (mummichog) is the source of this 513-nucleotide long non-coding RNA. RefSeq lists it as uncharacterized. NCBI's taxonomy places the organism in Eukaryota, Metazoa, Chordata, Actinopteri, Cyprinodontiformes, Fundulidae. The record is from RefSeq and is a predicted model, not a curated record. The transcript has 3 exons.
GGCGUGGUCAGACGGUGCUUCCCUUAAAUAUAGUUGAGUGUUUGUGCUUAAGUUUGUUUUCAAAGACUUCAGAUGAAGUGCUGCGAAGAGGCUUCACUCAUCGCUGUAGUCAAACUGCACUUUCAUAACUGAAUAUCCCCUGAGCGGGCUCUGAGCCAUCUGAUCUGCUGGUAGACACCGGCUACACGUUUUUGAGUGCGCAUAAGCCAAAAACAUAUUUAAGAAUGGGAAACGUACCAUCAGAAGCAAACAUGGGGGACAGCCUGAGGUGCUGUAAGUGUUAUAGAGUCUUGCCUCCAUGUUGGUCCUUUGAUAAUUUAAGAAAAGAUGUCAUACAUGGUCAACAUGUGCAUGUGUUCAAUGGAGGGGAAUACUACAGACCAGUCGGUUAUAAUGACCUAUAUCAGUGCCCAGAUUGCUUUUAUAAGCCAAUCAGAGAUGCAGAACGUAGAAGAGAAGAGGAAGAGAAAAGACGGAGAGAGGAAGAAAGAAGGAGAGAGGAAGAGAGGAGAA